AGCAAAACUGUUUGCGAUCAGCUGCUGCUCUGCAUGUCAAGAAGAUAAGUAGCUUUACAGGAGAGAUCAACUUCUACCUUGAUAGCUUCCUGAAGUGAGCGGGUAUGCAGCUGAAGUCCUAGUGCCUAGAUCAGAAUGCUUGGCAGUGACUAAGUACUCACUAAAAGUUUGUUGAGUGAUUGUGGAAACAAAUCUCAGAGUGCUUCCCUUCAGGAUGCAGCUUGGACGACCCCACCUGACGUGCCAGUCACUUAUGUUCCUACCUGAUCUCCUGAGGGUGCUGUGAGCUCACUACCGUGCCUGAUGGAUGUGUGGAGCGAGAGUGCAUAUGGAAGGAGGAUCAUGCAAGGUAGAUUAUACAUGGACUUCUAGAAAGGGA
This is a long non-coding RNA of Talpa occidentalis (Iberian mole), 379 nucleotides long. RefSeq lists it as uncharacterized. NCBI's taxonomy places the organism in Eukaryota, Metazoa, Chordata, Mammalia, Eulipotyphla, Talpidae. The transcript is spliced from 4 exons. The record is from RefSeq and is a predicted model, not a curated record.